RNAcentral lists this ribosomal RNA (500 nucleotides) under uncultured bacterium. Its description in RNAcentral is "partial 16S ribosomal RNA". It matches the Rfam family "Bacterial small subunit ribosomal RNA", at positions 899 to 1397 of the family's 1533-position model. The record is from RNAcentral.
ACUCAAAUGAAUUGACGGGGGCCCGCACAAGCGGUGGAGUAUGUGGUUUAAUUCGACGCAACGCGAAGAACCUUACCAGGGCUUGACAUUGAGUGAAAGACUUAGAGAUAAGUCCCUCCCUUCGGGGACACAAAAACAGGUGGUGCAUGGCUGUCGUCAGCUCGUGUCGUGAGAUGUUGGGUUAAGUCCCGCAACGAGCGCAACCCUUAUCCUUUGUUGCCAGCACGUAAUGGUGGGAACUCAAGGGAGACUGCCGCAGACAAUGCGGAGGAAGGCGGGGAUGACGUCAAGUCAUCAUGCCCCUUAUGUCCUGGGCUACACACGUACUACAAUGGGCUUAAACAAAGCGAAGCAAAACCGCGAGGUUGAGCAAAACGCAUAAACAAGCUCUCAGUUCGGAUCGGAGGCUGCAACUCGCCUCCGUGAAGUCGGAAUCGCUAGUAAUCGCAGGUCAGCAUACUGCGGUGAAUACGUUCCCGGGCCUUGCACACACCGCCCGU